ACUCCUACGGGAGGCAGCAGUAGGGAAUCUUCCACAAUGGGCGAAAGCCUGAUGGAGCAACGCCGCGUGGGUGAAGAAGGUCUUCGGAUCGUAAAACCCUGUUGUUAGAGAAGAAAGUGCGUGAGAGUAACUGUUCACGUUUCGACGGUAUCUAACCAGAAAGCCACGGCUAACUACGUGCCAGCAGCCGCGGUAAU
Molecule: ribosomal RNA, 197 nt
Filed under: uncultured Lactobacillus sp.
Lineage: Bacteria; Bacillati; Bacillota; Bacilli; Lactobacillales; Lactobacillaceae
Description: partial 16S ribosomal RNA
Rfam family: Bacterial small subunit ribosomal RNA
Source: RNAcentral